This 460-nucleotide ribosomal RNA is filed under the name uncultured bacterium. RNAcentral describes it as "bacterial SSU rRNA". It matches the Rfam family "Bacterial small subunit ribosomal RNA", at positions 1 to 507 of the family's 1533-position model. The record is from RNAcentral.
AGUACAGACGUAGUUUGAUCAUUCGGCUCAGAACGAACGCUGGUCGGCAGGCCUAACACAUGCAAGUCGAGCGCCCCGCAAGGGAGCGCGGACGGGUGAGUAACGCGUGGGAACGUACCCUUUGCUACGGAAUAGCCUCGGGAAACUGGGAGUAAUACCGUAUGUGCCCUUCGGGGGAAAGAUUUAUCGGCAAAGGAUCGGCCCGCGUUGGAUUAGGUAGUUGGUGGGGUAAUGGCCUACCAAGCCGACGAUCCAUAGCUGGUUUGAGAGGAUGAUCAGCCACACUGGGACUGAGACACGGCCCAGACUCCUACGGGAGGCAGCAGUGGGGAAUCUUAGACAAUGGGCGCAAGCCUGAUCUAGCCAUGCCGCGUGAGCGAUGAAGGCCUUAGGGUUGUAAAGCUCUUCAGUGGGGAAGAUAAUGACUGUACCCACAGAAGAAGCCCCGGCUAACUCCGUG